Molecule: ribosomal RNA, 444 nt
Filed under: uncultured Streptococcus sp.
Lineage: Bacteria; Bacillati; Bacillota; Bacilli; Lactobacillales; Streptococcaceae
Description: bacterial SSU rRNA
Rfam family: Bacterial small subunit ribosomal RNA
Source: RNAcentral
AGCAUGUGGUUAAUCGAAGCAACGCGAAGAACCUUACCAGGUCUUGACAUCCCGAUGCUAUUUCUAGAGAUAGAAAGUUACUUCGGUACAUCGGUGACAGGUGGUGCAUGGUUGUCGUCAGCUCGUGUCGUGAGAUGUUGGGUUAAGUCCCGCAACGAGCGCAACCCCUAUUGUUAGUUGCCAUCAUUCAGUUGGGCACUCUAGCGAGACUGCCGGUAAUAAACCGGAGGAAGGUGGGGAUGACGUCAAAUCAUCAUGCCCCUUAUGACCUGGGCUACACACGUGCUACAAUGGUUGGUACAACGAGUUGCGAGUCGGUGACGGCGAGCUAAUACUCCUAAAGCCAAUCUCAGUUCGGAUUGUAGGCUGCAACUCGCCUACAUGAAGUCGGAAUCGCUAGUAAUCGCGGAUCAGCACGCCGCGGUGAAUACGUUCCCGGGCCUU